AACGCUGGCGGCGUGCCUAACACAUGCAAGUCGAACGGAGUAGAACGCUGAUUUGAUGGAAGCUUGCUUCUGGAUUUUCUGUUCUGCUUAGUGGCGACGGGUGAGUAACGCGUGAGUAACCUGCCUUACAGAGGGGGACAACAGUUGGAAACGACUGCUAAUACCGCAUAAUGUAUAACCGAGGCAUCUCGGAUAUACCAAAGGAGCAAUCCGCUGAAAGAUGGCCUCGCGUCUGAUUAGCUAGUUGGUGGGGUAACGGCCCACCAAGGCGACGAUCAGUAGCCGGACUGAGAGGUUGACCGGCCACAUUGGGACUGAGAUACGGCCCAGACUCCUACGGGAGGCAGCAGUGGGGAAUAUUGGGCAAUGGGGGAAACCCUGACCCAGCAACGCCGCGUGAAGGAAGAAGGCCCUCGGGUUGUAAACUUCUUUUACCAGGGACGAAGAACGUGACGGUACCUGGAGAAAAAGCCACGGCUAACUACGUG
This 488-nucleotide ribosomal RNA is filed under the name uncultured bacterium. RNAcentral's name for it is "bacterial SSU rRNA". It matches the Rfam family "Bacterial small subunit ribosomal RNA", at positions 32 to 507 of the family's 1533-position model. The record is from RNAcentral.